RNAcentral lists this long non-coding RNA (362 nucleotides) under Homo sapiens (human). RNAcentral's name for it is "HSALNT0110611". The record is from RNAcentral. Lineage: Eukaryota; Metazoa; Chordata; Mammalia; Primates; Hominidae.
GCAGGCAACUAAGACAAUCAUGGGGAUCACACUGUGUUCCUUCCAGAAAUCCAGAAAGCCUCAGCCAAGCUGGUACUGGCAAAGACAAUGAUAAUUCUCGUGAGAAAGGUAAUCUUGGUGUGGUGAAGAGGGUUUGCAUGGAAUCAGAAGAAUGGGCAAAGGUUCCUCUGCAAGAUAUUGGAAAGAAGACGAAGAAAAAAAGGAAAGAAAAAGGAAGAGAAGGAGGAAAGUAAGAAAGAGAAUACAGAAGAACUAAUGAAUCCAGAGCACUUGAUGAGUGAAAAUGAUAGAAAUCCUCCAGAAGGAAAAGAACUGGAUUAUGAAACAACGUGAGUAUUAGAGCUGAUUCUCUGCAAAAUAAU